This 492-nucleotide ribosomal RNA is filed under the name uncultured bacterium. RNAcentral describes it as "partial 16S ribosomal RNA". It matches the Rfam family "Bacterial small subunit ribosomal RNA", at positions 29 to 507 of the family's 1533-position model. The record is from RNAcentral.
AGCGAACGCUGGCGGCGGGCCUAACACAUGCAAGUCGAACGGAAGCACAGUAAGAGCUUGCUCUUCCGGGUGGCGGGUGGCGGGCGGGUGAGGUAUAUAUCGGAAUCUACUUUUUCGUGGGGGUUCACGUAGGAAAACUUACGAUAAUAUAGCAUACGAUCUAACGUUGAAAGCAGUGGAUCUUCGGAGCUUGUGCGGUUGUAUUAGCCGAUGCCGGAUUUGCUAGUUGGCGGGGUAAAGGCCUACCAAGGCAACGAUACGUAGCCGGUCUGAGUGGAUGAUCGGCCACACUGGAACUGAGACACGGUCCAGACUCCUACGGGAGGCAGCAGUAGGGAAUGUUAGGCAAUGGGCGGAAGCCUGACGCAGCGAGGCCGCGUGAGUGAUGAAGGCCUUCGGAUCGUAAAGCCCUGUUAUUGGGGAAGAACAGCUGUGGAUGAAAACCUGGCUGUAUUGACGGUACCUAAUGAAGAAGCACCGGCUAACUACGUG